Non-coding RNA from Felis catus (domestic cat), 85 nucleotides. Lineage: Eukaryota; Metazoa; Chordata; Mammalia; Carnivora; Felidae. The record is from Rfam.
GCCUGGGUGGCUCAGUCGGUUGGGCGUCUGACUUCGGCUCAGGUCACGAUCUCGUGGUCCGUGAAUUCGAGCCCCACGUCAGGCU